Molecule: small RNA, 204 nt
Filed under: Marmota monax (woodchuck)
Lineage: Eukaryota; Metazoa; Chordata; Mammalia; Rodentia; Sciuridae
Source: RNAcentral
GGGAUAUGAAGAGAAUGAUAUUAGAGAUGCUGCCAUGGUUGGAAAAUAUAAAAAAGAAGAUUUCUAUAGCAGAAUAAUAAUGGCUGUGAAAUGUCUUGUGUGUGUGUGUGUGUGUGUGUGUGUGUGUAUGAUGGUGGUGGUGGGGAUAGAACCCAGGGCCUUGUGCAUGCAAGGCAAGUACUCUACCAACUAAGCUAUCUCCCC